AACACGCGUGUGCCGUGCCGUGCCGUGCCGUGCCGUGCCGUGCCGGGAGGGUUCGCGCGAGGGCGGUGCUGCGAUGGGCCGCCGGAGAGCGCCAGGUCCUGGGGCCCUCGGCCGGGCUCUUAUCCGCCAGAAUACCCAGCGGAGCCGUAACCACCGUCACAGCGACUCCUGGUUGCACACAAGUGAGCUCAAUGAUGGCUACGAUUGGGGUCGUCUUAAUCUUCAGUCAGUGACUGAACAGAGCUCCCUCGAUGACUUCCUUGCAACUGCAGAACUUGCAGGAACAGAGUUUGUAGCUGAGAAACUUAAUAUCAAGUUUGUGCAUCCUGAGGCUAGAGCUGGACUACUGUCUUUUGAGGAGAGCCAGAGAAUUAAGAAACUCCAUGAAGAAAACAAACAGUUCUUGAGUGUACCACGGAGACCAAAGUGGGACAAAAACACUAGUCCAGAAGAACUCAAACAGGCAGAGAAAGAUAACUUUCUAGAAUGGAGACGUCAGCUUGUCCGGCUAGAAGAGGAACAAAAAUUGCUAUUGACUCCAUUUGAAAGAAAUUUGGACUUUUGGCGCCAGCUCUGGAGGGUGAUUGAGAGAAGUGAUAUCGUGGUCCAGAUAGUAGAUGCUCGAAACCCACUCCUGUUUAGAUGUGAGGAUUUGGAAUGUUACGUGAAAGAAAUAGAUGAUAAUAAGGAAAACGUCAUUCUGAUAAAUAAGGCAGAUUUGUUGACUGCUGAGCAGCGGAGUUCCUGGGCCACAUACUUUGAAAAAGAAAAUGUGAAGAUUAUCUUCUGGUCAGCUUUGGCUGAAGCCAUUCAACUGAUUGGUGACUCUAAGGAACAGGCGAACGGGGGUGCUGGAGAAGCCAACACAGCCAAGUCUGAAAAGGCCCGUUGUGAGGAGGCUGCGGUCCCACACAGUGAGCCCGGACAUCUCCCAGACUGCGGUUCCCUCGCACUUAGCGACCUUGCCCCUAGCGAUGAGGACUCCAGUGAGUACGAGGACUGUCCGGAGGAGGAGGAGGAGGUGUGGCAGACAUGCUCGGAAGAGGACAACAACCCUGACGAAGAGGCCUCUGGCCAGGACUGGCAGAGAAGCUGCACUGCGGAUUCUGAGGCUCAGGGUAGGAAACCCCUGCAGAAGGAGCGCACACACAACUUUAGCCACCUCGUAUCAAGGCAGGAGUUGUUGGAGAUCUUUAAGCAGCUGCACAAUGGGAAGAAGGUGAAAGACGGACAACUUACGGUUGGACUGGUAGGCUACCCGAAUGUUGGUAAGAGUUCCACAAUCAACACCAUCGUGGGCGACAAGAAAGUGUCUGUGUCUGCCACACCUGGCCACACCAAGCAUUUCCAGACCCUCUAUGUGGAACCUGGCCUCUGCUUAUGUGACUGCCCCGGCUUGGUCAUGCCAUCCUUCGUCUCUACCAAGGCAGAGAUGAUUUGCAAUGGAAUCCUCCCAAUUGACCAAAUGAGAGACCACGUCCCCCCUGUGUCACUAGUUUGCCAGAAUAUUCCGAGACAUGUCUUAGAAGCUACCUAUGGCAUUAAUAUCAUAAAGCCUAGAGAGGAUGAAGAUCCCUGUCGACUUCCAACAUCAGAAGAACUGUUGACGGCUUAUGGAUACAUGCGAGGAUUCAUGACUGCGCAUGGGCAGCCAGACCAGCCGCGGUCUGCUCGCUAUAUCCUGAAGGACUACGUCAGCGGUCAACUUCUGUACUGUCAUCCUCCUCCUGGAAGAGACCCUGUGACCUUUCAGCAGCAACACCAGCGACUCCUAGAGAGCCAAACAAACGGUGGCGAACUGAAAGUACAUCCAGGCAGAAAUAAAAAAGCAACACAGAUUGAAAAUAUAGUUGAUAAAACUUUUUUCCAUCAAGAAAAUGUGAGAGCUUUGACCAAAGGAGUGCAGGCUGUGAUGGGCUACAAGCCUGGGAGUGGCAUGGUGACCGCAGCUACUGUGAGCGCUGAGAGCAGGGCUGGGAAGGCCUGGAAAAAACAUGGCAACAGAAAUAAAAAAGAGAAAAGUCGUCGACUGUAUAAGCACCUGGAUACAUGAACUUGGGCUGCAACAGAAAUGGCUUCUGCACUGUGCAUCUGGAAUAGAACAGGAGCUGCUCUGGCCUGUGAUUGCACAGAAUGGACGCUGCUCUCGUGGCACGCAGCCACACCAAACACCAGUAUCCAGACGGGGGGCUCCUUGGAGCAGCGAACAACACAGUCAUCUUGGAGCCCCAGAAACCUCGUCCUGUAGAAGGCUGAACCUAAGAUGAGGGAACACAUGGUUGUGUGUGUGUGUGAACAAAUACGCAGAUGCAUACUAAUUUGAGCCUGCUCAGCCUGCACACAGGGCAAUCUAGAAGGGCUGGGGAUGUAACACCCCCAGAGCAACCGCCAACUGGUAAAGAACGGGCUGGUUGGUAAGUGCCCCGGCUUCCCUAUCACUCGGUGCGUACAUUGUACAUGUGCCUCACUGCACCCUCAGAGGGAUUGAGCCCCACUUGCCCACAGUGAACAGGGUGCUGGGUGGCUCAGUCAGUUAAGCGUCCAACUCUCGAUCUCAGCUCAAGUUGUGAGCUCAAGCCCCAUGUUGGGCUCCACUUUAAGUCUGGAGCCUACUUAAGAAAAUUAACUAAACCUAAGUCCUCUGCUUAGAGUCUGAAAAACCAAAACUAGGACACCCUGAAAGGGGGCUUUCUAGUUUCACCUUUGCUUCUGCCCAGAAUGGGUGUCUUGUGAAGCAUCCUUUCAAUUUUUGUAGGUAUCCUCACCCUUGUAGCAGUUAGUACUUUAGACUAAAUAAAUUCCAGUCAUUAGCAUUAUCACUUUAUGGUUUUGAAUUUUUUCCCAGCAUUUUAUUACAAGAAAUAUACUGUCCUUUUAAAGUAGAACCUGGUACACAUCUGUCAUCUGUUUACUUUUUGGGAAACUAGAAGGAAGUUAAGGUUUUGGUCAAGAUAUCAGUAGCAACAUAUGCUUUCUUCGUAGGUAAACUGGAAAAUAUGGCAGCAAGCCAGAAAUCUGUUUAAUGCCAUACCUCUAACGUCUUUGUGGAGAAGUGAGGAAAAAUCAUUCAAAAUAUCCACCCUUAACCAUUUGUUGUCUGUCGUGUUCAUCAUACUAUUGACCAGUUGAGGGUGAAGAGGGCCCUAGAGAAAGGAAAGAUUUUGCUUUCAAAAGACUCUGAUAUGAAGGGAAACCAAUUUUGAGCAAUCUCAAAGUGAAAGGCAUUAUGUAAGUGAAAAGUGCCCAGUACACAGUAGACUCUGAAUACAUCUUUUAAAUGUUAUAUUGAAGUGUGAUAUGUAUACAGAAAGCACACAAUCGUAAGAGUAUAGAUAGCUGACUUUUCACAAACAACACAUUGAUGCAACCAGCACCUUGAUUAAGACACAGAAGGGUCAGGGCACCUGGGUGGCUCAGUUGGUUAAGUGUCUGCCUUCGGCUCAGGUCUAUGGUUCCAGGGUCCUGGGAUCGAGCCCCACAAGCCUGCUUCUCCCGCUCCCACUCCCCCUGCUUGUGUUCUCUCUGUCAAAUAAAUAAAAUCUUUAAAAAAAAGACACAGAAGGGUCAACAUUCCGUGCUUCCUUUCAGCCACAAACAGAUCUUCCCAAG
Molecule: RNA transcript, 3609 nt
Organism: Mirounga angustirostris (Northern elephant seal)
Lineage: Eukaryota; Metazoa; Chordata; Mammalia; Carnivora; Phocidae
Gene: LSG1
Gene name: large 60S subunit nuclear export GTPase 1
Exons: 15
Source: RefSeq, a predicted model, not a curated record